This is a non-coding RNA of Labrus bergylta (ballan wrasse), 287 nucleotides long. The record is from RefSeq and is a predicted model, not a curated record. Lineage: Eukaryota; Metazoa; Chordata; Actinopteri; Labriformes; Labridae.
UGUGUGUGUGUCCUGUGAAGAGGAGGAUAUAUAACCUCAUUUUACGUUCACUAAGCAGCCUCUUUGUGAGUGUACACGCUUGUAGCCUAAACAUGCUUACUUGUUCCCUUGCUUUCCUGUUCGCCAGCAACUCCUUCUGUAAUCUCUCGGCUCUCUCUUCAGCACCGUCUGCUUGCUCUUGUAAGGAUUUUAUUUUACGUUUUACUGCUUCUACUGAUGUAACUCCUGCCAUUUUCGGUACUGCCCCCCCCCCAAAAAAAACUAAGUUCAAAGAAAAAAAAAAAAAA